RNAcentral lists this ribosomal RNA (253 nucleotides) under uncultured bacterium. Its description in RNAcentral is "partial 16S ribosomal RNA". It matches the Rfam family "Bacterial small subunit ribosomal RNA", at positions 524 to 776 of the family's 1533-position model. The record is from RNAcentral.
UACGGGGGGGGCAAGCGUUGUUCGGAUUUAUUGGGCGUAAAGGGUGCGUAGGCGGUUUGGCAAGUCUGAUGUGAAAUCUAUGGGCUCAACCCAUAGUCUGCAUCAGAAACUGCCGGGCUUGAGUAUGGGAGAGGUGAGUGGAAUUUCCGGUGUAGCGGUGAAAUGCGUAGAUAUCGGAAGGAACACCCGUGGCGAAAGCGGCGCGCUGGACCACUACUGACGCUGAAGAACGAAAGCUAGGGGAGCAAACAGG